RNAcentral lists this unclassified non-coding RNA (354 nucleotides) under soil metagenome. Its description in RNAcentral is "partial contains 5.8S ribosomal RNA, internal transcribed spacer 2, and large subunit ribosomal RNA". The stretch from base 1 to 120 matches the Rfam family "5.8S ribosomal RNA", at positions 35 to 154 of the family's 154-position model. The record is from RNAcentral.
GAUGAAGAACGUAGCGAAAUGCGAUAAGUAGUGUGAAUUGCAGAAUUCAGUGAAUCAUCGAAUCUUUGAACGCACAUUGCGCCUCCUGGUAUUCCGGGAGGCAUGCCUGUUCGAGCGUCAUUAAAAUCACUCAAGCUUAGGUUUACCUAUUGCUUGGUCUUGGAGAUGGAAGCCAAUUUAUUGGAAUCCUCUUCGAAAUUCAAUGGCGAAGACCCUUGCUCUCCCAAGUGUAGUAAUAACUUAUGUCACUGAAGGAAGCGAGAAAUCUUCUGCCGUAACCCCCAUAUUUUCUAUGAUUGACCUCGGAUCGGGUAGGGAUACCCGCUGAACUUAAGCAUAUCAAUAAGCGGAGGA